This 1927-nucleotide long non-coding RNA is filed under the name Gallus gallus (chicken). Lineage: Eukaryota; Metazoa; Chordata; Aves; Galliformes; Phasianidae. The record is from RNAcentral.
CGGGUCUGCGUGGGGCGGCCUCGCCUCACGGCCUUCCCGUGCUACCCCCGUGCCCGGGAGAUGCCCGCACGUCUCCCCGGGCCCGCCUGAUGCCCAAGAGACGACCCCCGGCCCGCCCCGCCUCUCGCUGAGGCAGUACCCCGGCCGAGCCGCCAGAUGUCAGCACGAGGCUUUGUGCCUCGCUCCGCUCUCAGUGACUGCUCCAGUCGCCAAAUAGCACGAAGCUUUCCCGUACAAUCCCAGGCCCUGCUUCAGCCCAUCCGCCUCUCCCGCUCAGAAGACUUUUUUGGAAGUAUAUGAUGAGCAACCAUUGAGAUUGGAUGGAAAGCAUCAGCAGCACCAGGAAACUCUUGGCAUAUGGAUAGUCUGAAUUGCUUCUGCAUGGGAUCCAGUGUGGGGAAUGCUCUGAAUCACUGUAACAGAGGUAUAAACACGGGACUUACAGGAAUAUGCCUGUAUUCAGAUAACAGAUCUGAAUGGUUUUGUUCCUAGUGCGGCCAGGGGAAAACUCCUACUGGUUUCUGCAUUGCUCUGCUUUGCAUUGUGUAAAUUAGGUAAUGGACAGAUAAAUAAUCGGUUUUCUAAGUGUUAUUUUGAACUGUUCUUUUGAGGCUGGAACCUGCCAAGCCUUCCCACAUCAUGCUGUAGCAUAAAGGGCUCUUAAUGCUCCCAUCGUCGUUAAUUACAUUAGUAAUUAAGGACGAAUGGAGCUGCAGGCUCUGCUGUUUUGGGCCCUGCACAAACAAAGCAGUAAUGUAAGUGGCAGUCCCUGUCUUGGAGAGCUUCAGACUAAAUGACAAAGAUGGGUGGAAAAAAUCUACCAGAAAUAUCUGGAAUGCAGUUUACUUUUUCUCUUGAGCCCCAUCCACGUGAAUCUUAAUGAUUUAUUCACGGGUUUUGAUAUUGUUGAUUCUGAUGUGCCAUCCUAAUACAGAACUUGCAUUUCUGGCCUGUACCUUUCAAUAACCAGUUAUGUGUUUUUUGUCUUUCAGCGGGGACAGGUUUCCCUGCCCGUGCUGGUGUAACAGGUUUGCCUUGUUCCCCUCCCAGGUCUUUGUGCAAAAGGAAAUUCCACUGCAAAUUUGCCUCAGAUGAUAGCAGUGCUGCUUUGUGCUUGGACUCUGUGCAGUCUUUUUGUUCAGCUGUUCAUGGAUUAAGGUCUCAAAGAGUUGUGAUGCAAUUAUGUUCUCUGGUUUUAUAACGUGUUCUGGGUGAACACAAGGCUAGGGAAGGACAGCAGCCCCUGGUAUCCUUCUGCUGAGAGCCUGUGGAGGUAGAAGCCCUUGGGAUGAUGUGGUUGUGCUUUAGGCAGGAUGGCAUGCUCAGAUAUUCAAAUACAUUGGCAACAGCAGGAAGAAGUACUCCGUGAAAUGAGUUGAACAGCCUCUCUUAGUUGUGAUGUAGUCCUUUAAAGAUAUCAGUGCUUAGUGGUGAACAAAAGCAAUGCCUGCUCUGUGUCUCACAUCAAGGGUAGCAGCAUUCCACUCUUAAGCCCAAACCAGUGGGGAUAAAAUGAGAUGCAGUUGCAUUAUUAGCAUCAUGCCCAGCCUCACUGUUCUGAAUGUUGGAAUCACUUCAGUUAUCCUUUUGUUUUUUCCUCAUGCAGGUUGAUAUCCAGAUGCCAUCCAGUGAAAGGGGAAGUGCAUGAAUCCAGGGGAGGCAAUGCAUGCAGCAGCUGCGCAGCUAUCAGAUCCCAGCCCUCUGCGAGCAGAAUCUGUCCUCCUCAGGGGAGUAAAUUUGCUCCCCCCACGUAAGUCUUUCAUGAACAGAUGCAGCAAUAAACACAAAACAGGAAUCUGAAGGUCUUUUCACGUUUCUUGUAGCUGAAAAGCAGAAGUACCAAAUCACAUUAGGUGACGCAGCUCAAAUAAACGCUGUUGCAAAGGAAGAAGAGCACAAAAUCAAUCUUAUUUCUCCAGCCGGGAAA